AGAGGGAAGAGUAUCCUUCAGCCAUUUAGAUCAAAGUUCAAACGUGAAAGAAAACACGCCCAUGAACUCAAAUUCACACCUGGCCUGAAAAACCUCUCCUCCGUCGUGCCGGAGGUCACCUUCAGCGACGACGGAAAGCCAAACCAAGAAAAUCAUACAUCACCCUCUUUGUUUAUUCACCCUCAACUCAAAUCCAUAACCAAUUUUAAUUAAUUCCAACCCUAGAGUCCUAACCGAAUUGAUCUUGUCCAAGAACCCUAAGUACAAUUUGAUAAAUUAAAUCCUCAUCCUAAGGAAUCAAAGCGCAAGGGAUUGGGGCUUUGAUUCCUUGCAACAUAAGCUACAUCACAGUAACAAUUUCAAAUGAAAUGGUGAAUCAAAGACCUACCCUUUCCGGUGAAGAUGAAGAUGUCGACGCAAUUCCGGGGAUUUCUUGUUUCUAAUCUUAUUUUCCUGCUUUUGAUUUUACAGUCUUCUUCUUCUUCUCCUUCUUCUCUUCUUGAGCUCUACUGAGUUUGUGUUGAUGUUUUGUGUGGAAUCUUCGAGGGUGAGGUUGAUUGAAUUACAUGUAUUGGGAGGGUGAGAAAUGAAUGAUUUUUUAAGAGUGUGAAAUUUAAGAUUGAAUGUGAUGGUGAUGAAUGAUUCUGAGUCUCAGUGAUGAGUUGAAGAGUGAAAGUGAUGUUGAUGAGUGGAAUGUUGAGUGAUGAUGAAUGAUUCAAAGCUUAAGUGAAUUGAACAGUGAGUGUGAUUUUGAUCAAUGUAAUCCAGCUAGUUUGAUAAGGGAAUGAUGGUGAGAUUUAUAGGGGUUAAGAGUUGGUUGAGAGUUUGUUAUGGUUGGGAUUGGUGAAGCGAAAGCAAUUAGUGAAAUGGAAUUUUGUUAGGUUUACUUGGCCUGACUAUAACUUCAAGAUGAAUGAAAUAAGCAUGGUUAAGAAAGCACAAUAUGGAGAAAAAAUGGUUUGCUUGCACAUGAAACAAGCUUGUCAUGAAAGCCUAAUGAGAAGAUGUAAAGGAUGGAAGAAUGAAGAAACAAUGGAUAUUAGGGUUAGGAACAUGAAAAUUGGGUCAGUUGACUUUGGUAAACUGGUUGACCAAAAAUUCAACAAUUUACCAUAAUUCAACUGUAGGUCAAACUUUAUAUUUUUGUAUGAUUCUUGUAAAUUGAUACUUGUAUGAAUGAGUUUACGUUUUGAACGCAAAUAACCAUUUAGAUUCAAUGAGACAUGCUUUUGAUUUCAAGUUA
Molecule: long non-coding RNA, 1243 nt
Organism: Lathyrus oleraceus (garden pea)
Lineage: Eukaryota; Viridiplantae; Streptophyta; Magnoliopsida; Fabales; Fabaceae
Exons: 2
Source: RefSeq, a predicted model, not a curated record